GGAUGUGAGGGCAAUCUGGCUGUGACAUCUUUCACCUGAUUGAUCUCCAGGGUUGAUUCAGGUGAUCUGGCUAGCUAUGCGGGUGUCCCUUCCUCCCUCACUGCUCCAUGUGCACCCCUCCUGAAGCUGCACGCUUGGUCAAAGAGGAAGACCUUCUCCGAAUAGAGGAGGACCAGUCUUCAAGUAGCUGUGCUGCCCUGCUAGAACCUCCACACAAUCUCUCAAGAAACUCACCUCUCCAUAAAAGAUAGAUCCUACUUUAGGGUGAAGGCAUGGAAAAAUGGUAGACCAAGAAAAUGAGCCUAGGAAACAAGCAGGUCUUGCUA
Molecule: small nuclear RNA, 326 nt
Filed under: Jaculus jaculus (lesser Egyptian jerboa)
Lineage: Eukaryota; Metazoa; Chordata; Mammalia; Rodentia; Dipodidae
Description: 7SK RNA (ENSJJAG00000005279.1)
Rfam family: 7SK RNA
About the family: 7SK was discovered as an abundant small nuclear RNA in the mid-70s but a possible function has only recently been suggested. Two independent studies have found that 7SK RNA binds the CDK9/cyclin T complex (known as elongation factor P-TEFb).
Source: RNAcentral